CCGCUCCUAUUGGCUCAAACACAAGUCAAUCACACAAAGCAUUGCGUCACUCUCACAGACGCUGAGCUGUGAUUGGUGUAAAUCCAGCUACGGUGCCGCCUUCUUGGUUGUGAUUGGCCGAACCUGAACAUUGCCGAACAUGGUAAAGAAGAUUUCGCAAUCGGCUGUACUCCAUGUUCCAAACAAAAACACACUCCGACCGCCGACAGACGGAAUAAAACUCCGACUUUUCACCUCGACGUCCUCUACGUCCACAGACGGGUGACUCCGCUGCCGCUUUCUGAAGGCUUCCUCCGGUCGGCCGGUGUUUUUCUCCACUUCCUGUCGCCACCCGUCUCUACACCUGAGGAGGCCCGGGUCAGAGCUCAGCACCUGCAGGCAGCACAUCCAAAUGAGCCGGCCGUCCCAGCCGAAACCCACUUCAGCUGACCACAACGGCGUGAGCGUUAUCCAGAGCCAGGCCCACGCCGCCCCCUCCUCCUCCUCGUCCCUGCCGGCGGCGCUCGCCGGACUGCAGCAGGUCCCCCAGCUCGUCCCAGCCCACCCUUCCUCCACCGGAGGCAAAGCUCUCCCCCCGAGCAAGAUGAAGAAGCCGUCGGUGGACAAGGACAGCGACGAGUACCGGCAGCGGCGCGAGCGCAACAACCUGGCGGUGAAGAAGAGCCGCAUGCGCAGCAAGCAGAAGGCCAUGGACACGCAGCAGCGCGUCAACGAGCUGAAGGAGGAGAACGAGCGGCUGGAGGCCAAGAUCAAGCUGCUCAGCAAGGAGCUGAGCGUGCUCAAAGACCUCUUCCUGGAGCACGCGCAUAAUCUGGCCGACAACGUGCAGCCGCCCGCCGGCCCCGAGGGCACCAGCCCCGCCUCCAACAACAACCCCGCCAGUGCACAGUGAGGGGGCGGGGUCACAGGGAUGUUAUUUAUCUGCAGGUAACCUGGAAACAAGCCUCACUACUUCGCCCCUUUUCUUUCCCUUUUGACCUUGUUCAACCCCGCCCACUCACUGUCAGGAUGCCUGGAGGCUCCGCCCACUCACUGUUUGGAUGGUUUUUCACUUUUUUUUCCUGACUUAAAACAUAUUUGCUGUAAGAAAACAGUAACUUUGUGCUGAUUGAACUGAGCUGGAGGAACCGAGCUUCUGAUUGGUCGGUUUGGAGGAAAGCGUCGGACUUAGACGCCGACUCGUGGUUCCACUUCCUGUCUGCUCCACUGGACGCUCUUCAUCUUUCUGUUGUUUUUUUGUUUGUUUUUUUUAGACUAAAGUUUUUUCACUACAUCUUGAUGUUUAAAGGACAAACCUAUGAGCGGCACCAGAACCGGGUCAGACUCUGUUCUGUGGACACGUUAAAACGACCCGGGUUCUCAGAGGGCAGAAUUCUUUUUUUGAGGUCGUGUUGCACAUUUUAACGUUUGUGUCGGACGUUUUGUGCUGAGGUGGAACCUACAACUGGACCGCAGCACGUGAACCUGUACAUCAGAACUGUAGGGAGAACCAGUCUGGGUCAGAACUCCGGGACACGUUUAAUGGGACUGCGAGGCCUGAAAAGAACCGUUGGAUUGUUUGGUACAGAACCAGUCCGGUACGAACCAGAAGUCUUGUUCUGGGACCUGAAUGAUUAGUUCUGAUGUUUGUAAACAGGAAGUUCUGAUAUGACAGAACAGUCGGUGUGUUUGUGUGCCAAGUGCCGGGCGGACGCAGACGCCUCAGCCUCCUCAGGUGAACCGCAGCUUUAGGUAAAUCCAGGUUGAAGCCGGGCCGGGUUCCGCCGAGGCCUGAGCAGAUCCAGACAAGUCCCCCGCCCCGUCGCAGAGAAGUGGGCGGGGCUCAGACUCCAUAAUUACCUGAGCUUUGUGCAGGCAUGUCUGGAGUCCUCGUCGCUUUUUUUGGACCCGGCUCGGCUCUGAGCGGGGAUUAGAGAAAAAAAAAAGUUUUUAAAAUAAAUUCUUUUGGUAAUUUUAGUUUAAAUGCAGAGUCAGAAGCUGAGAGCUGUGCAGAAAUAUCAAAGUCAUCACAAACAUAAACACUAAAAGCUCAGAGGCAUCAGCUGCUAAUUAGGACAUUUUGAAUCAACAACCUAAUUAAUUAUAUGUCAUUGAAAGUUUUAUUUUUUGUCAAAAAGCAGCGACUGAUUUAUGACUGUUUGAUUUAUGACUA
This is an RNA transcript of Austrofundulus limnaeus, 2152 nucleotides long. It is a transcript of the gene named CCAAT enhancer binding protein gamma, with no coding region annotated. The record is from RefSeq and is a predicted model, not a curated record. NCBI's taxonomy places the organism in Eukaryota, Metazoa, Chordata, Actinopteri, Cyprinodontiformes, Rivulidae. The transcript is spliced from 3 exons.